Long non-coding RNA from Hypanus sabinus (Atlantic stingray), 628 nucleotides. RefSeq lists it as uncharacterized. The record is from RefSeq and is a predicted model, not a curated record. NCBI's taxonomy places the organism in Eukaryota, Metazoa, Chordata, Chondrichthyes, Myliobatiformes, Dasyatidae. The transcript is spliced from 3 exons.
UUCGCAUGCUGUCCAUACAGAUUAAAAUAAUACUGUUACAGAAGUGCAGUGCAGGUAGACAAUAAGGUGCCAGGUCAUUUUACAGGCAUAGCAUUUAAAGUUUUAAAAUGGAUGUCAGGCUGUCCCAGGAUUGGAUGUCCAUGUGAACAGGGGGCAUUAGGGUCGGUCAGUCAGCAAGCUUGGAAUGCGGGUCAUGUCAUCAGAAUCAGGUUUAAUAUCUCUAGCAUAUGUCAUGAAAUAUAUCGCAAUACAUAAUACUGGGAUAUAUAUAUAUUAAAAAUUAAAUUAAAUAAGCAGUGCAAAGAGAGAUUUUACAAAAGGGAGCGUCUAGUCUGGGGUUGAUACCAAAGAUCGAAACCCAAAGGUCAAUCGGACAUCCAGGUGUCGAAACCCAAUGGCCAAAACUUGGAGACUGGAAGCCUGUUCUGGAGUUGGAGGACUGUCCAUAUGUGUGAGGUACAUCGAGUUACUGCAGGGAGAAACAAGUCUCUGGUCAAGAGUAGAGAGGUCAUGUUGCAACUCCACAAAUCUCUGAGAGCACGAGAGAGAGCGAGGAGGAAAGGAAGCAGAAUAAUGCUUCAAGCAUUAUUGAGUAAGAAGGCAGGACAGAUACGCUCAGAAACCCUCG